GUUGGAUCAAUAGCCAAAGACAAGUAUCGAAAUCGACUACUCUCUUCAUUCCAAGCAAAGAACCACUUCGAAUUUAGAAGUGGGAGGCAAGUGUUAUGAGAAAAAUCCACUGUCCGACCUGACCUUCCUCUUAUCGGAUUAUGAGUGAGUACUCACCUCGGAUAUCUCACCGAUGACUCAAGAGAAAGAUAGAACUCUCUUAGACGUUGGGAAAAGAAGACUAGAAAAUUGAAGUGAAAUGACUAUGACAUUGGCUUCUUUUCAACCCCUAGGUCAGAAACAUACUGACUCCAGGGUCAAGCCCACACUGAUGAUAAGGAACAAAGCCUAUUGCUGACAAAACCAUUGUGGGAGAAGACAAUGCAACGGAAUCUCCUAAAGUCUCGAGCAAUUUCCUUAAAUCACAGGAACAUGAACUAAUGUCACACGAGUAACGACCAUAACCUACUAUCC
This 453-nucleotide long non-coding RNA is filed under the name Elaeis guineensis (African oil palm). Its description in RNAcentral is "long non-coding RNA (EGUI_LNC027599)". Lineage: Eukaryota; Viridiplantae; Streptophyta; Magnoliopsida; Arecales; Arecaceae. The record is from RNAcentral.